Molecule: ribosomal RNA, 497 nt
Filed under: uncultured bacterium
Lineage: Bacteria
Description: partial 16S ribosomal RNA
Rfam family: Bacterial small subunit ribosomal RNA
Source: RNAcentral
GACGAACGCUGGCGGCGUGCCUAAUACAUGCAAGUUGAGCGCUGAAGGUUGGUACUUGUACCAACUGGAUGAGCAGCGAACGGGUGAGUAACGCGUGGGGAAUCUGCCUUUGAGCGGGGGACAACAUUUGGAAACGAAUGCUAAUACCGCAUAAAAACUUUAAACACAAGUUUUGAGUUUGAAAGAUGCAAUUGCAUCACUCAAAGAUGAUCCCGCGUUGUAUUAGCUAGUUGGUGAGGUAAAGGCUCACCAAGGCGAUGAUACAUAGCCGACCUGAAAGGGUGAUCGGCCACAUUGGGACUGAGACACGGCCCAAACUCCUACGGGAGGCAGCAGUAGGGAAUCUUCGGCAAUGGACGAAAGUCUGACCGAGCAACGCCGCGUGAGUGAAGAAGGUUUUCGGAUCGUAAAACUCUGUUGGUAGAGAAGAACGUUGGUGAGAGUGGAAAGCUCAUCAAGUGACGGUAACUACCCAGAAAGGGACGGCUAACUACGUG